GAGCCUUACAAAUUGCACUGACCAUAAGCAAGCAGAACAUGUGAUUUUUGGUUGCAAUUGAAUGUGGUUGCUAUUGGAUGCUACAGUACAAAUUUAAUUUAUAAAUAAUGUUAUAUUGUUAAUGUAGCUAACCGUUGUAGACCUGACCUUCCUCACAGCUUUCUCUUUUUUUUUUUUUUUUUUUUUUUUUUUUUUGUGAAGACUGGUAAUAAAUUACAGCAUGAACCCAGCCAGAAGAAUUAAUUCUUGGGCAAAUUGAAUCCACCUGAAGGCAGACAUCAGUGAAGUGCAAAGAGAUGAUGAAGAGUGCAGGGGAAGGAUGAUUAGAAUACAUUUUCCCUGUCUUAUUUCUGGAGGAACUGAAAGGGAGAGGAAUGUAUCUAGUGGGUGAACAGGUCAUGUGCCACAGGGGCAUGGGAUUUAGUGGUUCACUUCAGUCCCUAGUUUCUUGGGCUGAAACGGGGAGAACUUUGGAGAAGAUGCAUAAGCAGGAUUAAGAGGCAAUGAAAGGAAGGACCAUACUGAAGUGGAAUGCAGAGGGUGAAGUAGAGGUGAAGAAAAAAGAAUGGAAGAAAAAUGCAAGAAUAACAAGGUAACCCAGAAAAUAUUCUGACUUCAUUAUCAGUGUCUUAGGUUAGGUUUAUAGGUAAUCUCUAAGUGACCUCUUCACGAAGUUUCUUUCCUGAAAGGCACGUGACAUGAAAUGAUUAAAACAUUUAACUUUUGUUGGUUUUCUAUUGAAUAUGCAAGGAAUGGACAGAGGAUGCUCUGUAUCUUCGUGUGUGUGCUAUUUUUUUUUUAAAUUCUCAUAAUGCCUGGAAGCCCUUUGAUUAAACAGGAAGUUUUCUUUUGAACUUUUAUGACUAACAUAACCACAGGAAAGCUAAGAGCAUGGGAUUUCAAAUAGAAGUAGUGCAGCAUAAAGUAGAUAACAUUUUAUAAAAACCAUAGAAGUGGUCCUGGGAGUAAAAGGAAAUUAUAGAAGUACAGAUGCAUCUUAUAGAACAUGACAGUUAAAAGGGAAUUGCAUUGAAAUAUCAUUUUAACUAGCUUAGACAGAAAUUAACCCUCUGAAUAGAAAAGACCAAAACCAUCCCUAGAGCCAGUGCCUAGGUUAUUGCAUCAGGGUUGAAUUGGGCCCAAUGUACUGAUGAUAGGAUAUGGAGCUUGAAAAGGGCAUGAACAAAGAUGAAUUGGAAACAGAUGUCAGAAAGAAUUUUUAGAAUCAUGCAUUUAUGAAGUAGCUACUGGGCAAGGUGGAUGAUGAAAAACACAAAGGGACAAGAAGAAGGAAAAGAGAGGGAGAGAUUGACAUAUCUUACUUACUGCUUCAGCUAAAAACAAUCUGUGCAGGUGAUGUCUAAUGUCCCUAACAUUUCUUUUUUCACUCACUACCACAUUAAGAUGGCAAUAUUGAAACAUGUUGAAUCUGCCUCUUAAUAUUUUGCAAUGUAUCAGUCAUACUAUCAAACCAUAGAUUAGUUUGGGCUAGAAGGA
Molecule: long non-coding RNA, 1497 nt
Filed under: Cyanistes caeruleus (blue tit)
Lineage: Eukaryota; Metazoa; Chordata; Aves; Passeriformes; Paridae
Description: lncRNA (ENSCCEG00000011939.1)
Source: RNAcentral